ACAAGUUCUACUUUUUUUCCCUGAUUCUCUCCCCCAUUCUGCUGGGAGGAGAGGGAGUGAUCAAUAGGCUGUGCAGUGUUUAGUUGCCUGCUGGGUUAAACCACACCAAUAAGUCAAUCCAGGCAUAACCAGUCAGUAACACUAGGUAGAAAAGUAGAAAUUAGAAGAAAGAGUCCUAGGUGGAUUAGUUGUAAAAAAUGUCAGUGAAACUUGAACUCAUUACAUCAGGGAGGACAGUAAAGAACUGAGGUGACUCUGUCUUGGUUAACAGGGUUAGAAAAAAAAGAAGAAAAGCAAAUUAUAUUAAUGGUGGAGAAUUAUACAAGAUUUAUGUUGGAAAGAGAAAGAAUUGGAGAUCUCUUAAGUAAUCUAGGAUCUUCACUUGUUUCCUGUCCAGUUUUAAGACUCAAAAGGGGUCAGAAACAUGAUUUAUUCAAGGCUUUUGAGACAUGUUGUUACCACAGUUUCAGCGGUUCUUACUUAACAUUCAACAUAGCUGCAAACCAAUGACUAAAUCAGAAAUGCCUGGAAAAUAAAGGUUUAUGGUGCCUGAUAGCUUGUAUCUAUGCAGUCAGUUGUGCCUGGAACAGAAAUACUGUGCAAACAAAAUAAAAUAAUAAAACACAUCUUUCAUUCCUUGUGGUCAUCAAAAACGUGCUGCUCUCACGCAGAGGUGAAGUUUGGGCUUCUUGGCCAAUCAGGAAGUGUCUGUGGCGUGACACUGUCAUACAACUGCCUAGUUAUUAGAACAUGAGAAGUUGGUUUCUCACCAUCAACAGACAUUUUGGGGGACAGCAGGCAAUAGCUAAAGCUUUUGCAGGUGGUUUUGAUAGGCAAACACCUGGAGGAACCAACAGGUGAAACUCAUGCCCUGCUAUCAGCUGUGAUAGCAGGAUGGCUUUAGCUAGUUUUAAUAAAGCCAUCCAGACAUAAUUUAAAAGGUAGGGAAAUGCAUCAUAGGUCUUAUGGUAGUAGCUGCUGAUAUAUGCUUCUAAACCACUUCCUUGACCUCAAAUUGGAGUAUGCAAGCUUUUAUCUUGCUAGGUACGUGGGCGUAUAUAGGAUUUAAUUUGCACUCUUUUUACAAAACAAGGCCAUUAAGUCUUAUUAGAAGUUGUUACUGUGACCUUCAGUACCCAUUUCAUUAAUACAUUUUUGUUUGCUUUCCAGCCUACCCUGCAAUUUUGACUGGCCUAUGGGAGGGCUCUGCUGUACCUUGCAGACGAAAUGUCUGUUGAACAAAAAGACUCACAAGACAGUGAAGGUUUCUAUCAUCAGAUCUGUGCUUGAUGUUACAAGGGACCCACCAGAUUUGAAUGACUCUACCAUUGAAUUCCUGCAGAACCUCAACGACACAACACGCACCUCUGAGGGUACAACCCCUGAGCACUGUAAGUGCUGUGGCAGUUGUGCAAAUACCAUGUAGUCACGUAGCCACGUAUCGAAGCUAUUGUUUUGGAGGACACGAACACAGCAGUAGCUUGAGAAAGCAGGAAUAUGUCCUUUGGCAGCAUUGAUCUUAAAUGCAGGCAGCUUAGCUGUAUUAGGAAAGGGAAAAAUACCUGCCUAUAAAUAAAGAUGAUUUUUGUGAUACAGAGAUAGUUCUUGAUGCAGAAGACUGAGGCCUCACUCAGUCAUGGCAGAAGCAGACUGGGCUGCUGCUAAGCCACUUGGUAUCAUCAGCUUUUUCAUUAGCAUUAAAAAGGGAAAAGGCUUAUCACUAUCCCAGACUGCUGCGCAGACUGGUUUGCUGGAACAUCUUAAUAGAUAUUUCCUAAUAUCCUCUUUCUUCUAAUGUUCUUUAAUUUGAUAAAAGCAUAUUUCUUUUCCUACUGGUCAGUUGUAGGCCAAAAAUGUGUUUCACCAAAUGCACUUUGCACUUUCUCUGGAAUAUGAUUUCCAGUCCUCAGCAAAGUGAAUGAUGGUGGCUUCUAAACAUAAAAUCGUAGAAUGGCUUGGAAAUAUUGUUUACAAAAGUGAGAUAAAAUAAAAAGAAGAAAAAUUUCUUUUAAAGUAAGCUACUAAAAAUUUUCUGUGCCAAUAUCUUUGCAUGUAAUGUGUCCUUCAACAUCACAGACCAGUCUGUUUCAGCUACCAUAUGGAUAUAUUUCUUUACCACCAGCCCAUUGGUCAAUAGUGCUGCUGAGACAAGAUCCUACAAAUCGUAAGUGGUGGGAAUGAGGGCUGGGACUGUGCUGAGAUACUGUCAAACUGUGGAGAGAGAGAGAACAUGGCUGACUUUCUGACAAGUCAUUGGUUAGGCUGUGACUAAAUCACUUUCUGCUACUGUUGGGUGGCUGAAUUCAGCCCACAAACCCAAUCAGAACACAAGCCCAUGAAUUGGGGCAGUGAUGUUCAGCAUUUAUUGUGAUGAGCCAGAGAACCUGGCCUUUUUGUAUGGGGUUGGGGUUGCUUUGUCCAUGGGACUGGAGAGGAUCAGCAAGCCAAAAGAAGGACACCCAAACAACCUCUGACCAGGUUUGGCUUAUCACUGUUUCCUGUGUUCUUUGCAAGCAAUGUGAGGAAUACAAAAGGCAGCCACCUCCUCUGACCAGUGGUCCUCCUCCUCUUCUGUACGUUUCUAAUAUUCACAGAGAAUCACAGACUUACAGACAUAUAGAAAUAGUGUCAGUACCAAAAAGAGAUGUAAGUAUCAACCUGGGGAACAAAAAGAGUAGAAAAUGUAGUACAGCACAAACUCCAGUCCAGGUGUUUGUACUUAAGUAUUUUCAUACAUAUUGGAAGGCUGUGCUGUCGUUCAUCAAGACCUAACAGAUUGGAGAGUUGGGCAGGGAGGAACCUGACGAGGUUUAACAAGAGGUAGUGUAGAGUCUUGCACAUGGAGAGGAAUAACUGCAUGCAUCAGUACAGGUUAAGGGAUGACCUGCUGGAGAGGAGCUCUGCAGAGAAGGAUUUGAGUGUUCUGGUGAACAACAGAUUGGCCAUGAGCAGCAUGCCUUCUUUCCAAGAAUGUCAAUGGUAACCUGUAUUGCCUUAAAAAGAACGUGGCCAGUAGGCCAAGGAAGGCGAUCUUCCCCCUCUACUCUGCUCUUGUGAGGCCACAUUUAGAAUGUGUCCGGUUCUGGGCUCCCUAGUUCAAAAAAGACGGAGAUCUCCUGGCAGGAGUUCAGGGGAGGGCAACGAAGAUGAUAAAGUGCCUGGAGGAUCUCCUGUAUGAGGUAAGGCUGACUAACAUGAGUCUGUUCAGCCUGAGGAAAAGAAGACUGAGAGCAAAUCUGAUAAAUGUUUCUAAGUAUAUAAAGGGAGGUGAGAGGCAAAGGGAUGAGGCCAGCCUCUUCGCAGUUGCUCGUAGCCAUAGGACAAGGAGUAAUGGCCUAAAAUUUAAGCAUAGUUAGUUAUGUACUAACAUGAAGAAGAAGUUUAUAGUAAGGGUGACAGAUCACUGGAACAGGCUGUCCAGAGAGGCUGUGGAGUCUCCUCCUCUGGAGAUAUUCAAGACCCAUGUGUGGACAACUACCUGUGUGACCUACUGUACUGAAUUGCUUUAGCAGGGGUGUUGAUCUUCAGAGGUCCCUUCCAACCCCUGCAAUUCUGUGAUUCUGUGACUGUGAUCUGAGACUAUCCGUAACACUCAAUGCCUUUAAGUGCGUUGAUCACUACUGCCAUUUUUUUCAUGCAGAGGCAUGAAGUGUAGAGUGAUCUCAGACAUUUCAUCCAUUCUGUGGAUUGUCUCUAAAAUAAACCUCAGAAAAAGAGCUGUGGUGCAGCUUCAGUGCAUGCUGUAGGGUAUGAGGGAAGAAUGCAAGUAAUUUUUUCCCCAGAGCCUCCCACUUCUCUCUAAUUUUGUGUGGUUAUUAGAGAACAUGAUUUAACGAAACUGUACUUCUACGGUAACAGACUAUUUGAGUUGUGGAUAAUAUAUGUGAAAGUAGUCUACCUGAUUCUUAAUCCUAGUCAGAGAAGCACUAAGUUUGUAAUUACUACCAAAGUUUAAUUCCCUGGUAAGGCAUUCAAAGAUCUACUGAUAAAAGCAGUAUCUAAGAGCCAAUUAUUUUUAAUCUUAAUAUCUUUACUGAAGAGCUUGAAAAGUCAUGCAGAUCACAAAUAAUUUUCUGUCCCAGAAAAUCCUUUAUAAACAGAACAUCAAACCCUAAGUAUCAAA
Non-coding RNA from Meleagris gallopavo (turkey), 4123 nucleotides. NCBI's taxonomy places the organism in Eukaryota, Metazoa, Chordata, Aves, Galliformes, Phasianidae. The record is from RefSeq and is a predicted model, not a curated record.